Molecule: ribosomal RNA, 800 nt
Filed under: uncultured bacterium
Lineage: Bacteria
Description: bacterial SSU rRNA
Rfam family: Bacterial small subunit ribosomal RNA
Source: RNAcentral
AGAGUUUGAUCCUGGCUCAGAAUCAACGCUGGCGGCGUGCCUCAGACAUGCAAGUCGAACGGUUAAAGCUCUCUUCGGAGAGUGCAUAAAGUGGCGCACGGGUGAGUAACACGUAAGUAAUCUACCUCUGAGUGGGGAAUAACGUCCGGAAACGGACGCUAAUACCGCAUAAUGCAGCGGCAUCAUAAGAUGACAGUUGUUAAAGAUUUAUCGCUUAGAGAGGAGCUUGCGGCAGAUUAGCUAGUUGGUAAGGUAACGGCUUACCAAGGCUACGAUCUGUAACCGGUCUUAGAGGACGGUCGGUCACACUGACACUGAAUAACGGGUCAGACUCCUACGGGAGGCAGCAGUCGGGAAUUUUGGGCAAUGGGCGAAAGCCUGACCCAGCAACGCCGCGUGAAGGAUGAAGUAUUUCGGUAUGUAAACUUCGAAAGGAUAGGAAGAAUAAAUGACGGUACUAUUUAUAAGGUCCGGCUAACUACGUGCCAGCAGCCGCGGUAAUACGUAGGGACCAAGCGUUGUUCGGAUUUACUGGGCGUAAAGGGCGCGUAGGCGGCAUGACAAGUCACUUGUGAAAUCUCCGGGCUUAACUCGGAACGGCCAAGUGAUACUGUCACGCUAGAGUAUUGGAGGGGCAAUCGGAAUUCUUGGUGUAGCGGUGAAAUGCGUAGAUAUCAAGAGGAACACCUGAGGUGAAGACGGGUUGCUGGCCAAAUACUGACGCUGAGGCGCGAAAGCCAGGGGAGCAAACGGGAUUAGAUACCCCGGUAGUCCUGGCCCUAAACGAUGAAUACUUGGUG